GUGGGGAAUAUUGCACAAUGGGGGAAACCCUGAUGCAGCCAUGCCGCGUGUGUGAAGAAGGCCUUCGGGUUGUAAAGCACUUUCAGCGAGGAGGAAAGGUCAGUAGCUAAUAUCUGCUGGCUGUGACGUUACUCGCAGAAGAAGCACCGGCUAACUCCGUGCCAGCAGCCGCGGUAAUACGGAGGGUGCAAGCGUUAAUCGGAAUUACUGGGCGUAAAGCGCACGCAGGCGGUUGGAUAAGUUAGAUGUGAAAGCCCCGGGCUCAACCUGGGAAUUGCAUUUAAAGCUGUCCAGCUAGAGUCUUGUAGAGGGGGGUAGAAUUCCAGGUGUAGCGGUGAAAUGCGUAGAGAUCUGGAGGAAUACCGGUGGCGAAGGCGGCCCCCUGGACAAAGACUGACGCUCAGGUGCGAAAGCGUGGGGAGCAAACAGGAUUAGAAACCCGGGUAGUCC
Molecule: ribosomal RNA, 450 nt
Filed under: uncultured bacterium
Lineage: Bacteria
Description: partial 16S ribosomal RNA
Rfam family: Bacterial small subunit ribosomal RNA
Source: RNAcentral